Molecule: long non-coding RNA, 381 nt
Filed under: Nicotiana benthamiana
Lineage: Eukaryota; Viridiplantae; Streptophyta; Magnoliopsida; Solanales; Solanaceae
Description: long non-coding RNA (NBEN_LNC003797)
Source: RNAcentral
UUAUACUUGUAUCUCAUCCUCUAUAGGAUUAGGGAAUACCUGGAAGUAAAUGAAAAAAGGGUGAAUCAGCAGUAAUGAUAGCAGGGAGUCAGCAGCAGGUUCCAAUAAGGAGAGUAAACCAGUAAAACGUAUUUCAAACCCAAAAAUGAAGUGUUGCAACCCAGAAAUCAGUUUCAAACACACAGUUAAACUAGUAGACCUCAAAGACCAGCCUAAACGACUGAAUCUCAAACCAUUUCCAAGUCCAAAUAAUCAGGGAAUUGGUUCAGGAAGAUGAGAUGAGAAUUUCUGAUUGCAAAACUAAAACUCAAUGGAACUGUGUUUUACUGCAGGGUGUUGCAGCUACUUUUCUUGAUUUUAGGAUAUUUUUGGCUCUUGAAA